This 492-nucleotide ribosomal RNA is filed under the name uncultured bacterium. Its description in RNAcentral is "partial 16S ribosomal RNA". It matches the Rfam family "Bacterial small subunit ribosomal RNA", at positions 29 to 507 of the family's 1533-position model. The record is from RNAcentral.
AGUGAACGCUGGCGGUAGACCUAACACAUGCAAGUCGAACGGCAGCACAGUAAGAGCUUGCUCUUACGGGUGGCGAGUGGCGGCCGGGUGAGGAAUACAUCGGAAUCUACUUUUUCGUGGGGGAUAACGUAGGGAAACUUACGCUAAUACCGCAUACGACCUACGGGUGAAAGCAGGGGAUCUUCGGACCUUGCGCGAUUGAAUGAGCCGAUGUCGGAUUAGCUAGUUGGCGGGGUAAAGGCCCACCAAGGCGACGAUCAGUAGCUGGUCUGAGAGGAUGAUCAGCCACACUGGAACUGAGACACGGUCCAGACUCCUACGGGAGGCAGCAGUGGGGAAUAUUGGACAAUGGGCGCAAGCCUGAUCCAGCCAUACCGCGUGGGUGAAGAAGGCCUUCGGGUUGUAAAGACCUUUUGUUGGGAAAGAAAAGCAGCAGGUUAAUACCCCGCUGUUCUGACGGUACCCAAAGAAUAAGCACCGGCUAACUUCGUG